Molecule: ribosomal RNA, 433 nt
Filed under: uncultured bacterium
Lineage: Bacteria
Description: partial 16S ribosomal RNA
Rfam family: Bacterial small subunit ribosomal RNA
Source: RNAcentral
AACGAACGCUGGCGGCAUGCCUAACACAUGCAAGUCGAACGAGACCUUCGGGUCUAGUGGCGCACGGGUGCGUAACGCGUGGGAACCUGCCCUUAGGUUCGGAAUAACUCCCCGAAAGGGGUGCUAAUACCGGAUAAUGUCUUCGGACCCAAGAUUUAUCGCCUUUGGAUGGGCCCGCGUUGGUUUAGCUAGUUGGUAGGGUAAAAGCCUACCAAGGCGACGAUCCAUAGCUGGUCUGAGAGGAUGAUCAGCCACACUGGGACUGAGACACGGCCCAGACUCUUACGGGAGGCGGCAGUGGGGAAUAUUGGACAAUCGGCGAAAGCCUGAUCCAGCAAUGCCGCGUGAGUGAUGAAGGCCUUAGGGUUGUAAAGCUCUUUUACCCGGGAUGAUAAUGACAGUACCGGGAGAAUAAGCUCCGGCUAACUCCGUG